AAGCGGUGGAGCAUGUGGUUAAUUCGAAGCAACGCGAAGAACCUUACCAGGGCUUGACAUCCCUUGAAGCAGCUAGAGAUAGCUGCGUCCUUCGGGACAAGGAGACAGGUGGUGCAUGGUUGUCGUCAGCUCGUGUCGUGAGAUGUUGGGUUAAGUCCCGCAACGAGCGCAACCCCUGUGGUUAGUUGCCAGCAAGUAGCGUUGGGCACUCUAGCCAGACUGCCGGUGAUAAAUCGGAGGAAGGUGGGGACGACGUCAAAUCAUCAUGCCCUUUAUGUCCUGGGCUACACACGUACUACAAUGGCCGUUACAACGGGAAGCGAAGGAGCAAUCCGGAGCAAAUCCCUUAAAGGCGGUCCCAGUUCAGAUUGUGGGCUGAAACUCGCCCACAUGAAGGCGGAAUUGCUAGUAAUUGCAGAUCAGCAUGCUGCAGUGAAUACGUUCCCGGGCCUU
RNAcentral lists this ribosomal RNA (453 nucleotides) under uncultured bacterium. RNAcentral describes it as "bacterial SSU rRNA". It matches the Rfam family "Bacterial small subunit ribosomal RNA", at positions 927 to 1382 of the family's 1533-position model. The record is from RNAcentral.